RNAcentral lists this ribosomal RNA (465 nucleotides) under Vreelandella stevensii. Its description in RNAcentral is "partial 16S ribosomal RNA". It matches the Rfam family "Bacterial small subunit ribosomal RNA", at positions 338 to 795 of the family's 1533-position model. Lineage: Bacteria; Pseudomonadati; Pseudomonadota; Gammaproteobacteria; Oceanospirillales; Halomonadaceae. The record is from RNAcentral.
CCUACGGGCGGCAGCAGUGGGGAAUAUUGGACAAUGGGCGAAAGCCUGAUCCAGCCAUGCCGCGUGUGUGAAGAAGGCCUUCGGGUUGUAAAGCACUUUCAGUGGGGAAGAAAGCCUUGGGGCUAAUACCCUCGAGGAAGGACAUCACCCACAGAAGAAGCUCCGGCUAACUCCGUGCCAGCAGCCGCGGUAAUACGGAGGGUGCGAGCGUUAAUCGGAAUUACUGGGCGUAAAGCGCGCGUAGGCGGUCUGAUAAGCCGGUUGUGAAAGCCCCGGGCUCAACCUGGGAACGGCAUCCGGAACUGUCAGGCUAGAGUGCAGGAGAGGAAGGUAGAAUUCCCGGUGUAACGGUGAAAUGCGUAGAGAUCGGGAGGAAUACCAGUGGCGAAGGCGGCCUUCUGGACUGACACUGACGCUGAGGUGCGAAAGCGUGGGUAGCAAACAGGAUUAGAUACCCGAGUAGUC